Non-coding RNA from Pelobates cultripes (western spadefoot toad), 591 nucleotides. The record is from the annotation of a GenBank genome assembly. NCBI's taxonomy places the organism in Eukaryota, Metazoa, Chordata, Amphibia, Anura, Pelobatidae.
GAGCAAUGUAAGAGCGCCGUGUGAGAGAGCAGUGUAAGAGUGCUGUGUGAGAGAGCAGUGUAAGAGUGCUGUGUGAGAGAGCAGUGUAAGAGUGCUGUAUGAGAGAGCAGUGUAAGAGUGCUGUGUGAGAGCAGUGUAAGAGUUCUGUAUGAGAGAGCAGUGUAAGAGCGCUGUGUGAGAGAGCAGUGUAAGAGUGCUGUGUGAGAGAGCAAUGUAAGAGCCCUGUGUGAGAGAGCAGUGAAGAGUGCUGUGUGAGAGGGCAGUGUAAGAGUGCUGUUUGAGAGAGCAAUGUAAGAGCGCUGUGUGAGAGAGCAGUGUAAGAGUGCUGUUUGAGAGAGCAAUGUAAGAGCGCUGUGUGAGAGAGCAAUGUAAGAGCGCUGUGUGAGAGAGCAAUGUAAGAGCGCUGUGUGAGAGAGCAGUGAAAAGUGCUGUGUGAGAGAGCAGUGUAAGAGCGCUGUGUGAGUGCAAUGUAAGAGAGAGCAGUGUCUUAGCGCUGUGUGAGAGAGCAGUUUAAGAGCGCUGUGGGAGACAGUGUAGAAGCGCUGUGUGAGAGUGCCUUUAUGUGAGAGCAAUGUUAGAUUCCUGUGUGAG